AGGAGUGUAGCUUAGUAGUAGAGUGCUCACUUGGCAUGUGGAAGGCCUUGGGUUCAAUCCCCAGUACUGCAA
This 72-nucleotide transfer RNA is filed under the name Marmota monax (woodchuck). It matches the Rfam family "tRNA". From Rfam's summary of the family: Transfer RNA (tRNA) molecules are approximately 80 nucleotides in length. Lineage: Eukaryota; Metazoa; Chordata; Mammalia; Rodentia; Sciuridae. The record is from Rfam by way of RNAcentral.